CAAAAACAUUGCUUUUUGAAAAAAUCAUAAAAAGUAAUUCCUGCCCAGUGACACUGUUCAACGGCCGCGGUAUCCUAACCGUGCAAAGGUAGCAUAAUCACUUGCCCAUUAAUUGUGGGCUAGAAUGAACGGAUCAAUGAAAUAAAUCCUGUCUCGAUUAGAAAAAUAUAAAUUAUCUUCUAACUGAAGACUGUUAGAUAUAAUCGAAGGACAAGAAGACCCUAUAGAGCUUUAUUAUAACAUUUAUUCUAAAUGCUAAAAUUCGGUUGGGGCGACCAAGGAUAUAAAUUAACAUCCUUAAUAAAAAGAUCUAUUAAUCGCUAAAUUGACCCUCACACAGAGAUCAAUAAAACAAGCUACCUUAGGGAUAACAGGCUAAUCCUAUUAAAGAGUCCUUAUCAAUAAUAUGGGGUUGGCACCUCGAUGUUGGCUUAGGAAAUAAAUUUGGCGCAAAAGUCAAUUCUAACGGUUUGUUCAACCGAUAAUCUCCUACGUGAUCUGAGUUCAGACCGG
RNAcentral lists this ribosomal RNA (513 nucleotides) under Eudriloides sp. Ke. RNAcentral's name for it is "partial 16S ribosomal RNA". It matches the Rfam family "Bacterial large subunit ribosomal RNA", at positions 1808 to 2619 of the family's 2925-position model. Lineage: Eukaryota; Metazoa; Annelida; Clitellata; Crassiclitellata; Eudrilidae. The record is from RNAcentral.